This 498-nucleotide ribosomal RNA is filed under the name uncultured bacterium. RNAcentral describes it as "bacterial SSU rRNA". It matches the Rfam family "Bacterial small subunit ribosomal RNA", at positions 28 to 526 of the family's 1533-position model. The record is from RNAcentral.
GAUGAACGCUGGCGGCGUGCUUAACACAUGCAAGUCGAACGGAGCACCCCCGAAGGAGUUUUCGGACAACGGAGGGGAAUGCUUAGUGGCGGACGGGUGAGUAACGCGUGAGGAACCUGCCUUGGAGAGUGGAAUAACACAUGGAAACGUGUACUAAUACCGCAUAAUGCAACGGAAUCGCAUGGUUUUGUUGCCAAAGAUUUAUCGCUCUGAGAUGGCCUCGCGUCUGAUUAGCUAGUUGGUGGGGUAACGGCCCACCAAGGCGACGAUCAGUAGCCGGCCUGAGAGGGCGAUCGGCCACAUUGGGACUGAGACACGGCCCAAACUCCUACGGGAGGCAGCAGUGGGGAAUAUUGCACAAUGGGGGAAACCCUGAUGCAGCGACGCCGCGUGAAGGAAGAAGUAUUUCGGUACGUAAACUUCUAUCAGCAAGGAAGAAAAUGACGGUACUUGACUAAGAAGCCCCGGCUAACUACGUGCCAGCCGCCGCCGUAAGAC